RNAcentral lists this ribosomal RNA (406 nucleotides) under uncultured bacterium. Its description in RNAcentral is "partial 16S ribosomal RNA". It matches the Rfam family "Bacterial small subunit ribosomal RNA", at positions 29 to 526 of the family's 1533-position model. The record is from RNAcentral.
AUUGAACGCUGGCGGCAGGCCUAACACAUGCAAGUCGAACGAGGGGCGGACGGGAGAGUAAUGUCUGGGAAACUGCCCGAUGGAGGGGGAUAACUACUGGAAACGGUAGCUAUUACCGCAUACUAUCGGGUGAGCCCAGAGGGGAUUAGCAAGUAGGUGGGGGAAAGGCUCACCUAGGCGACGAUCUCUAGCUGGUCUGAGAGGAUGAUCGGCCACACGGGGACUUAGACACGGUCCAGACUCCUACGGGAGGCAGCAGUGGGGAAUAUUGCACAAUGGGCGCAAGCCUGAUGCAGCCAUGCCGCGUGUAUGAAGAAGGCCUUAGGGUUGUAAAGUACUUUCAGCGGGGAGGCGUUACCCGCAGAAGAAGCACCGGCUAACUCCGUGCCAGCAGCCGCGGUAAUAC